Molecule: ribosomal RNA, 458 nt
Filed under: uncultured bacterium
Lineage: Bacteria
Description: bacterial SSU rRNA
Rfam family: Bacterial small subunit ribosomal RNA
Source: RNAcentral
UACGGAAGGCAGCAGUGGGGAAUAUUGCACAAUGGGCGCAAGCCUGAUGCAGCCAUGCCGCGUGUAUGAAGAAGGCCUUCGGGUUGUAAAGUACUUUCAGCGGGGAGGAAGGCGAUGCGGUUAAUAACCGCGUCGAUUGACGUUACCCGCAGAAGAAGCACCGGCUAACUCCGUGCCAGCAGCCGCGGUAAUACGGAGGGUGCAAGCGUUAAUCGGAAUUACUGGGCGUAAAGCGCACGCAGGCGGUCUGUUUAAGUCAGAUGUGAAAUCCCCGGGCUUAACCUGGGAACUGCAUUUUGAAACUGGCAGGCUUGAGUCUUGUAGAGGGGGUAGAAUUCCAGGUGUAGCGGUGAAAUGCGUAGAGAUCUGGAGGAAUACCGGUGGCGAAGGCGGCCCCUGGGACAAAGACUGACGCUCAGGGUGCGAAAGCGUGGGGAGCAAACGAGGAUUAGGAUACC